UACGAGGGGGGCGAGCGUUGUUCGGAAUUAUUGGGCGUAAAGGGCGCGUAGGCGGGUUUGUAAGUCAGAUGUGAAAUGCCGAAGCUCAACUUCGGAACAGCAUUUGAAACUGCAAGUCUAGAGGGUAGGCGGAGAAAAUAGAAUUCCACAAGUAGCGGUGAAAUGCGUAGAUAUGUGGAAGAAUACCAGUGGCGAAGGCGAUUUUCUAGCUUAUACCUGACGCUGAGGCGCGAAAGCAAGGGGAUCAAACAGG
This 253-nucleotide ribosomal RNA is filed under the name uncultured bacterium. RNAcentral's name for it is "partial 16S ribosomal RNA". It matches the Rfam family "Bacterial small subunit ribosomal RNA", at positions 524 to 776 of the family's 1533-position model. The record is from RNAcentral.